AACCAACUGGGAUUACCUUAACGUAACGGCGAGUGAAGCGGUAAAAAGCUCAAAAUUUGAAAUCUGGUACUUUCAGUGCCCGAGUUGUAAUUUGUAGAAUUUGUCUUUGAUUAGGUCCUUGUCUAUGUUCCUUGGAACAGGACGUCAUAGAGGGUGAGAAUCCCGUUUGGCGAGGAUACCUUUUCUCUGUAAGACUUUUUCGAAGAGUCGAGUUGUUUGGGAAUGCAGCUCAAAGUGGGUGGUAAAUUCCAUCUAAAGCUAAAUAUUGGCGAGAGACCGAUAGCGAACAAGUACAGUGAUGGAAAGAUGAAAAGAACUUUGAAAAGAGAGUGAAAAAGUACGUGAAAUUGUUGAAAGGGAAGGGCAUUUGAUCAGACAUGGUGUUUUUUAAAUGUGCAAGUCUCUCGUGGACAUGUGCCUCUGGAAAUUAACACUGGGCCAACAUCAGUUCUGGCGGUCAGGAUAAAUCAUUAAGAAUGUAGCUACCUCGGUAGUGUUAUAGCUUUUUGGAAUACUGCCAGCUU
This 524-nucleotide ribosomal RNA is filed under the name uncultured Hanseniaspora. RNAcentral's name for it is "eukaryotic LSU rRNA". It matches the Rfam family "Eukaryotic large subunit ribosomal RNA", at positions 63 to 581 of the family's 3401-position model. Lineage: Eukaryota; Fungi; Ascomycota; Saccharomycetes; Saccharomycodales; Saccharomycodaceae. The record is from RNAcentral.